RNAcentral lists this ribosomal RNA (642 nucleotides) under Brevibacterium linens. RNAcentral describes it as "bacterial SSU rRNA". It matches the Rfam family "Bacterial small subunit ribosomal RNA", at positions 64 to 706 of the family's 1533-position model. The record is from RNAcentral. Lineage: Bacteria; Bacillati; Actinomycetota; Actinomycetes; Micrococcales; Brevibacteriaceae.
GAACGCUGAAGCCGUGUGCUUGUCACAUGGUGGAUGAGUGGCGAACGGGUGAGUNACACGUGAGUNACCUGCCCCCGACUUCGGGAUAAGCCCGGGAAACUGGGUCUAAUACCGGAUAUGACCAACGCUCGCAUGAGUGUUGGUGGAAAGUCUUUUCGGUUGGGGAUGGGCUCGCGGCCUAUCAGUUUGUUGGUGAGGUAAUGGCUCACCAAGACGACGACGGGUAGCCGGCCUGAGAGGGCGACCGGCCACACUGGGACUGAGACACGGCCCAGACUCCUACGGGAGGCAGCAGUGGGGAAUAUUGCACAAUGGGGGAAACCCUGAUGCAGCGACGCAGCGUGCGGGAUGACGGCCUUCGGGUUGUAAACCGCUUUCAGCAGGGAAGAAGCCACCUUCGGGUGGUGACGGUACCUGCAGAAGAAGUACCGGCUAACUACGUGCCAGCAGCCGCGGUAAUACGUAGGGUACAAGCGUUGUCCGGAAUUAUUGGGCGUAAAGAGCUCGUAGGUGGUUGGUCACGUCUGCUGUGGAAACGCAACGCUUAACGUUGCGCGUGCAGUGGGUACGGGCUGACUAGAGUGCAGUAGGGGAGUCUGGAAUUCCUGGUGUAGCGGUGAAAUGCGCAGAUAUCAGGAGGAA